RNAcentral lists this ribosomal RNA (474 nucleotides) under uncultured bacterium. RNAcentral's name for it is "SSU rRNA". It matches the Rfam family "Bacterial small subunit ribosomal RNA", at positions 26 to 518 of the family's 1533-position model. The record is from RNAcentral.
AGGACGAACGCUGGCGGCGUGCUUAACACAUGCAAGUCGAACGAGGUGCUUGCACCUAGUGGCGAACGGGUGAGUAACACGUGAGCAACCUGCCCCUGGCUCUGGGAUAGCCUCCGGAAACGGGGAUUAAUACCGGACAUGACCUUCUUCCGCAUGGUGGAGGGUGGAAAGUUUUUCGGCCAGGGAGGGGCUCGCGGCCUAUCAGCUUGUUGGAGGGGUAACGGCCCACCAAGGCGACGACGGGUAGCCGGCCUGAGAGGGCGACCGGCCACGACUGGGACUGAGACACGGUCCAGACUCCUACGGGAGGCAGCAGUGGGGAAUAUUGCGCAAUGGGCGAAAGCCUGACGCAGCGACGCCGCGUGGGGGAUGAAGCUUUUCGGAGUGUAAACCCCUUUCGACCCGGACGAAUGACCCGCAAGGGUUUGACGGUACGGGUAUAAGAAGCCCGGCUAACUACGUGCCAGCAGCCGC